UCCGAGUUGACCCCGGCAGUCUCCUAUGAGUCCCCGACAUUACUCGCUGGCAACAUAGGACGAGGGUUGCGCUCGUUGCGGGACUUAACCCAACAUCUCACGACACGAGCUGACGACAACCAUGCACCACCUGUAUAGAGACCUUGCGGGGAGUACAUUUCUGCACUUUUCCUCUAUAUGUCAAGCCUUGGUAAGGUUCUUCGCGUUGCAUCGAAUUAAUCCGCAUGCUCCGCCGCUUGUGCGGGCCCCCGUCAAUUCCUUUGAGUUUCAACCUUGCGGUCGUACUCCCCAGGUGGAUUACUUAAUGCUUUCGCUCAGACGCGUACGGUGUAUUGCACACAUCGAGUAAUCAUCGUUUAGGGCGUGGACUAC
RNAcentral lists this unclassified non-coding RNA (372 nucleotides) under uncultured bacterium. RNAcentral's name for it is "contains 16S-23S intergenic spacer region". The record is from RNAcentral.